CCCUUAGAUGUCCUGGGCUGCACGCGCGCUACACUGAUGUGUCCAGUAAGCACCUAACCUCUUCCGAAAGGAACGGGUAACCUUUGCAAAGCACAUCGUGAUGGGGAUAGAUUAUUGCAAUUAUUAGUCUUGAACGAGGAAUUCCUAGUAAGCACAAGUCAUCAGCUUGUGUUGAUUACGUCCCUGCCCUUUGUACACACCGCCCGUCGCUCCUACCGAUUGGAUGAUCCGGUGAGCUAUUCGGACUUUCGCAUUGUCGAUUUUCGGCUUUACGAGGGAAAGUCUCGCGAACCUUAUCAUCUAGAGGAAGGAGAAGUCGUAACA
Molecule: ribosomal RNA, 324 nt
Filed under: uncultured eukaryote
Lineage: Eukaryota
Description: partial 18S ribosomal RNA
Rfam family: Eukaryotic small subunit ribosomal RNA
Source: RNAcentral